CUUUAUAGCCUUGCAUUCCGGUUCGCAUAAUCAACCGUACCUGCAUCCGCAAAAAGAGGCAUGAGUAUACAAAUUACUUACUGAGGACGCUCAAAACCGCCCCCAUGCAACUCACUAAUCAAACAAUAAAAUUCAAUGUUCCAUUCUAACGACCUAGCAUUUCCAUUCUAUCAACCUAGCAAUUUGUUUCCAUUAUUUCUUACCUAGUCUUUUUUCCUAUUACUUAUCUAUUUUCAUGCAUCCAAAACAAACA
RNAcentral lists this long non-coding RNA (253 nucleotides) under Brassica napus (rape). RNAcentral describes it as "long non-coding RNA (BNAP_LNC003355)". The record is from RNAcentral. Lineage: Eukaryota; Viridiplantae; Streptophyta; Magnoliopsida; Brassicales; Brassicaceae.